This 142-nucleotide ribosomal RNA is filed under the name Escherichia coli. RNAcentral describes it as "partial 16S ribosomal RNA". It matches the Rfam family "Bacterial small subunit ribosomal RNA", at positions 1 to 136 of the family's 1533-position model. The record is from RNAcentral. Lineage: Bacteria; Pseudomonadati; Pseudomonadota; Gammaproteobacteria; Enterobacterales; Enterobacteriaceae.
AAAUUGAAGAGUUUGAUCAUGGCUCAGAUUGAACGCUGGCGGCAGGCCUAACACAUGCAAGUCGAACGGUAACAGGAAGAAGCUUGCUUCUUUGCUGACGAGUGGCGGACGGGUGAGUAAUGUCUGGGAAACUGCCUGAUGG